GAUGAACGCUGGCGGCAUGCCUAACACAUGCAAGUCGAACGAUUGCCUUCGGGUGUUAGUUGCGCGCGGGUGCGUACCGCGUGGGGAUCUGCCCUUAGGUAAGCAAUAUCAACUGCAAGCGUAACCUCGUACCGCCGGAUAUCACGAGAUCAAAUAUUUAUCGCCCGAGGAUGAGACCGCGUUGGAUGAGGUUGUUGGUGUGGUAAAGUCCUACCAAGCCGAGGUUCCAUAGCUGGUAUGUGAGGCUGAUCAGACACACUGAGGCUAAGACACGGCCCAGACUCCUACGGGAUGCAGCAGUGGGUAAUAUUGCAACACGGGCGCAAUCCUGAUCCAGCAAUGCCGGGUGAGCUAUGAAGUCAGGAGAGUUGUAAAGCGCUAUUACCUGGGAAGAUAUUGACUGUACCGGGAGAGUAAGCCCCGGCUAACUCCGUG
Molecule: ribosomal RNA, 435 nt
Filed under: uncultured bacterium
Lineage: Bacteria
Description: partial 16S ribosomal RNA
Rfam family: Bacterial small subunit ribosomal RNA
Source: RNAcentral